RNAcentral lists this ribosomal RNA (1325 nucleotides) under metagenome. RNAcentral describes it as "bacterial LSU rRNA". It matches the Rfam family "Bacterial large subunit ribosomal RNA", at positions 1561 to 2925 of the family's 2925-position model. The record is from RNAcentral.
AGUGGAUGGGGAGCAACCUAGUUGUGCGUGUGUAAAGGUAGUGCCAAGAAAAGCGAUGAUCAUGUUGAAAAUCAAUUCCCGGUACCCGAAACCGACACAGGUGGGCAAGUAGAGAAUACUAAGGGGCGCGAGGUAACUCUCUCCAAGGAACUCGGCAAAAUGACCCCGUAACUUAGGGAGAAGGGGUGCCACCGAGAGGUGGUCGCAGUGAAGAGGCCCAGGCGACUGUUUAGCAAAAACAUAGGUCUCUGCAAACUCGAAAGAGGAGGUAUAGGGGCUGACGCCUGCCCAGUGCCGGAAGGUUAAAGAAGUUGGUCAGUUUUAGGAUGAAGCCAGCGACUGAAGCCCCGGUGAACGGCGGCCGUAACUAUAACGGUCCUAAGGUAGCGAAAUUCCUUGUCGGGUAAGUUCCGACCCGCACGAAAGGCGUAACGAUCUGGGCGCUGUCUCGGAGAGAGGCUCGGCGAAAUAGGAUUGUCUGUGAAGAUACGGACUACCUGCAUUUGGACAGAAAGACCCUAUGAAGCUUUACUAUAGCUUGGAAUUGUGUUCGGGCUUCCUGUGCGCAGGAUAGGUGGGAGGCGUAGAAGGUAUUCUUGUGGGGAUACUGGAGCCAACGGUGAGAUACCACUCUCAGGAGGCUAGAAUUCUAACUUAAUUAAGGACAGUUUCAGGUGGGUAGUUUGACUGGGGCGGUCGCCUCCAAAAAGGUAACGGAGGCGUACAAAGGUUCCCUCAGACUGGUUGGAAAUCAGUCGAAGAGUGCAAAGGCAGAAGGGAGCUUGACUGCGAGAAGUACAGUUCGAGCAGGGUGGAAACACGGUCUUAGUGAUCCGACGGUGCUGUGUGGAAGGGCCGUCGCUCAACGGAUAAAAGUUACUCUAGGAUAACAGGCUGAUCUCCCCCAAGAGUUCACAUCGACGGGGAGGUUUGGCACCUCGAUGUCGGCUCAUCGCAACCUGGGGCGGAAGUACGUCCCAAGGGUUGGGCUGUUCGCCCAUUAAAGCGGUACGUGAGCUGGGUUCAGAACGUCGUGAGACAGUUCGGUCCAUAUCCGAUGUAGGCGUGAGAAUAUUGAGAGGAGCCUUCCUUAGUACGAGAGGACCGGGAAGGACGCACCGCUGGUGUACCUGUUAUGAUGCCAAUUGUAAACGCAGGGUAGCCAAGUGCGGAGAGGAUAACCGCUGAAAGCAUCUAAGUGGGAAGCCCACCUCAAGAUGAGUAUUCUGGUGUAAGGUCACGGGAAGACGACCCGUAAAUAGGCACGAGGUGGAAGUGCAGAGAUGUAUGAAGCCGAAGUGUACUAAUAGACCGUCGGCUUGACC